Molecule: ribosomal RNA, 301 nt
Filed under: uncultured bacterium
Lineage: Bacteria
Description: partial 16S ribosomal RNA
Rfam family: Bacterial small subunit ribosomal RNA
Source: RNAcentral
CAGUCGCCGCGGUAAUACGUAGGUGGCAAGCGUUGUCCGGAAUUAUUGGGCGUAAAGGGCUCGCAGGUGGUUUCUUAAGUCUGAUGUGAAAGCCCCCGGCUCAACCGGGGAGGGUCAUUGGAAACUGGGAAACUUGAGUGCAGAAGAGGAGAGUGGAAUUCCACGUGUAGCGGUGAAAUGCGUAGAGAUGUGGAGGAACACCAGUGGCGAAGGCGACUCUCUGGUCUGUAACUGACGCUGAGGAGCGAAAGCGUGGGGAGCGAACAGGAUUAGAUACCCGCGUAGUCCCUGUCUCUUAUAC